RNAcentral lists this ribosomal RNA (497 nucleotides) under uncultured bacterium. RNAcentral describes it as "partial 16S ribosomal RNA". It matches the Rfam family "Bacterial small subunit ribosomal RNA", at positions 28 to 507 of the family's 1533-position model. The record is from RNAcentral.
GAUGAACGCUGGCGGCGUGCCUAAUACAUGCAAGUCGAGCGAACGGACGAGAAGCUUGCUUCUCUGAUGUUAGCGGCGGACGGGUGAGUAACACGUGGAUAACCUACCUAUAAGACUGGGAUAACUUCGGGAAACCGGAGCUAAUACCGGAUGAUAUUUUGAACCGCAUGGUUCAAAAGUGAAAGACGGUCUUGCUGUCACUUAUAGAUGGAUCCGCGCUGCAUUAGAUAGUUGGUAAGGUAACGGCUUACCAAGGCAACGAUGCAUAGCCGACCUGAGAGGGUGAUCGGCCACCCGGGAACUGAGACACGGUCCAGACUACUACGGGAGGCAGCAGUAGGGAAUCUGCCGCAAUGGGCGAAAGCCUGACGGAGCAACGCCGCGUGAGUGAUGAAGGUCUUCGGAUCGUAAAACUCUGUUAUUAGGGAAGAACAUAUGUGUAAGUAACUGUGCACAUCUUGACGGUACCUAAUCAGAAAGCCACGGCUAACUACGUG